This 803-nucleotide ribosomal RNA is filed under the name Salmonella enterica. RNAcentral describes it as "partial 23S ribosomal RNA". It matches the Rfam family "Bacterial large subunit ribosomal RNA", at positions 420 to 1221 of the family's 2925-position model. Lineage: Bacteria; Pseudomonadati; Pseudomonadota; Gammaproteobacteria; Enterobacterales; Enterobacteriaceae. The record is from RNAcentral.
GGACACGUGGUAUCCUGUCUGAAUAUGGGGGGACCAUCCUCCAAGGCUAAAUACUCCUGACUGACCGAUAGUGAACCAGUACCGUGAGGGAAAGGCGAAAAGAACCCCGGCGAGGGGAGUGAAAAAGAACCUGAAACCGUGUACGUACAAGCAGUGGGAGCACAGGUUUACCUGUGUGACUGCGUACCUUUUGUAUAAUGGGUCAGCGACUUAUAUUCUGUAGCAAGGUUAACCGAAUAGGGGAGCCGGAGGGAAACCGAGUCUUAAUUGGGCGUUAAGUUGCAGGGUAUAGACCCGAAACCCGGUGAUCUAGCCAUGGGCAGGUUGAAGGUUGGGUAACACUAACUGGAGGACCGAACCGACUAAUGUUGAAAAAUUAGCGGAUGACCUGUGGCUGGGGGUGAAAGGCCAAUCAAACCGGGAGAUAGCUGGUUCUCCCCGAAAGCUAUUUAGGUAGCGCCUCGUGAAUUCAUCUCCGGGGGUAGAGCACUGUUUCGGCUAGGGGGCCAUCCCGGCUUACCAACCCGAUGCAAACUGCGAAUACCGGAGAAUGUUAUCACGGGAGACACACGGCGGGUGCUAACGUCCGUCGUGAAGAGGGAAACAACCCAGACCGCCAGCUAAGGUCCCAAAGUCAUGGUUAAGUGGGAAACGAUGUGGGAAGGCCCAGACAGCCAGGAUGUUGGCUUAGAAGCAGCCAUCAUUUAAAGAAAGCGUAAUAGCUCACUGGUCGAGUCGGCCUGCGCGGAAGAUGUAACGGGGCUAAACCAUGCACCGAAGCUGCGGCAGCGACGCUUAUGCGU